Molecule: RNA transcript, 4032 nt
Organism: Cebus imitator (Panamanian white-faced capuchin)
Lineage: Eukaryota; Metazoa; Chordata; Mammalia; Primates; Cebidae
Gene name: fatty acyl-CoA reductase 1-like
Exons: 1
Source: RefSeq, a predicted model, not a curated record
UGAAAAAGAAAAAAAGCAGUCAUUACUGAAUCAUUGUAACAAGAAUGUAGUCAAGAAACAAUGUUUAUAUAAAACACUAAGAUGAUACCAACAUAAUUUGAGAUAGUCUAUAGCUUUCAACAACAACCUCAUGGGAGACGCAUGAUUUACACACACAGAAAGCAAAUAAAAACAACAGGAAAACCUCAGCUACAUGGGAUUCUUGGUGAACAAUAAAUCUAGGUAUAUAAAUAUUUUAAAUAGCUGAUCGAUGUAGUAAUCUUUGUGAUUUUUUUGACAAUGUAUAUUUUCAAAACUGCACUAUGUACUUUUGGCUUCUUAAGUUAUCACAGAGUGCUAACAACAUGGGACAUAGGAAUGCCUUAACUGGCAUUUAACAACUUUUCAGAGUUGAUGCCCUCCAGGUUACUGAACUACGCUGGGCAAUGCUUUCAGCAUAACAAAGUACUUCUCCUAAAGGACUGUGGUGCUGAAGUUCAUGUGGCUCAGAAUUAGUUAAAGGUUGACCUUUUGUGACUGCCCUGAUUACCUUUGGUAGCCAUGGAGUCUAUGACUCACUUUUCUGGGUUUCAAAUCCUGAGUAGCUGGGACUAUAGGCAUGUACCACCAUGCCUGGCUAAUUUUUUGCAUUUUUAGUAGAGAUGGAGUUUCACCAUGUUAGCCAGCGUGGUCUUGACCCCCUGAUGCCUGCCUCGGCCUUCCAAAGUGCUGGGAUCACUGGUGUGAGUCACCACACCCAGCCUCAUUUGCAGUAUUUACAGUCUAAAGAGCUACUACAAACUUUAACAAAAAACAGUCAUCCAUAUGAAUAUUUAUGUAAUGCUAAUAAGAAAGCAAAUUUCUUCUGUUUUUUGAUAAUGAGAAGGCAAAUAGGGUACCAUACGUCAGCAGGACACCCUGACUGAAGGUACCAGUAUCUUCCAAGACAAUGACCUCUGUUUUUAAAAAUUCCAUUAAUUUAUAUGACAACAGAAACACUGCUCUAGACAUUAUAUAGAGCAUAUUUCUCAUACAUAUCUCCACGUCUAGUUAGGAAAAGCUCAUGGGGUAAAGCUUAUGGGGUCUUUAAAAUUUUGGAUACUCAACUGUCAAAAAAUAUGGGCAUGAAGUUCAAAAUGGCACGGGAUCCUUGGUCAAUACACUAAUGCCUCCAACCACUAAGCAUGCCAAUCACGGGGUUUCUCAUGCUAACUGCCCCCACUUUCAUCCCCAGAUCAGGGAACAGCCCUAUGCAGUCAAGUUCUUUAUACUGUGAGACCCCACAUUCCUAGUCACAGCUGACUAAACCAGUGUGGGUACAUGAGGGCACUCUCCUGUUAGAGAUCUCUGAUGAAAAAAUGAACAGGGUUAAUCAGAUUCUCUCUCUAAGGUAUUUGAACUGGGAAACAAGAAAAUAAUCAGGCAAUUAGCAGUGGGAGUUGAAGCUAAAAGAAGCCAAAAUGAAUGCGAGAUAAGCAAGUUGAGAGGAUGAAAAGAGCAUUCCAACCACUGCUGGGUACACAGGAAAUUUAAAGUGAGUGAGGAGCAGCUGGUCGGGGGCGGUGGAAAAGCGAAUGAGGAAAGCACGACAGCGGUGGCGUCGCAGCCAUAGCUGGACGGCCAGCGGGAGAGCAAGGCUUGAGCCUCUACGUCUAGGAUCAAAAUGGUUUCAAUCCCAGAAUACUAUGAAGGCAAGAAUGUCCUCCUCACAGGAGCUACUGGUUUUCUAUAGAAGGUGCUUCUGGAAAAGUCGCUGAGAUCUUGUCCUAAGGUGAAUUCAGUGUAUGUUUUGGUGAGGCAGAAAGCUAGACAGACACCACAAAAGAGAGUAGAAGAAAUCCUUAGUGGUAAGCUCUUUGACAGAUUGAGUGAUGAAAAUCCAGAUUUGAGAGAGAAAAUUAUAGCAAUCAACAGUGAACUCACCCAACCUAAAAUAGCUCUCAAUGAAGAAGAUAAAGAGGUGAUCAUAGAUUCUACCAAUAUUAUAUUCUACUGUACAGCUACAGUAAAGUUUUAUGAAAACUUAAAGAGAUGCUGUUCAGUUAAAUGUGAUUGCAACGCGACAGCUUAUUCUCCUUGCACAACAAAUGAAGAAUCUGGAAGUGUUCAUGCAUGUAUCAACAGCAUAUGCCUACUGUAAUCGAAAGCAGAUUGAUGAAGUAGUCUACCCACCACCUGUGGAUCCCAAGAAGCUGACUGAUUCUUUAGAGUGGAUGGAUGAUGGCCUAGUAAAUGAUAUCAUGCCAAAAUUGAUAGGAGACAGACCUAAUGCCUACAUACUGUAUACACAAAAGCACUGGCAGAAUAUGCUGUACAACAAGGAGCAAAGCUAAAUAUGGCAAUUAUAAGGCCAUUGAUUGUUGGUGCCAGUUGGAAAGAACCUUUUCCAGGAUGGAUUGAUAACUUUAAUGGACCAAGUGUCCUCUUUAUUGCAGUGCUGUUUUUAACUUCAACAAAGGCACGGAAAGGAAUUCUUCGAACAAUGCGUGCCUCCAACAGUGCCCUUGCAGAUCUUGUUCCUGUAGACGUAGUUGUCAACAUGAGUCUUGCAGCAGCCUGGUAUUCGGAGUUAAUAGACCAAGAAACAUCAUGGUGUAUAAUCGUACAACAGGCAGCACUAAUUCUUUCCACUGGGGUGAAGUUGAAUACCAUGUAAUUUCCACUUUCAAGAGGAAUCCUCUCGAACAGGCCUUCAGAUGGCCCAACGUAAAUCUAACCUCCAAUUACCUUUUAUAUCAUUACUGGAUUGCUGUAAGCCAUGAGGCCUCAGCAUUCCUGUAUAAUAUCUACCUCAGGAUGACUGGAAGAAGCCCAAGGAUGACGAAAGCAAUUACGUGUCUUCACAAAGCUAUGAUGUUUCUUGAAUAUUUCACAAGUAAUUCUUGGGUUUGGAAUAUUGACAAUGUCAAUAUAUUAAUUAAUCAAUUAAACCCUGAAGAUAAAAAGACCUUCAAUAUUGACGUACGACAGUUACAUUGGGCAGAAUAUAUAGAGAACUACUGCAUGGGAACUAAGAAGUACGUGUUGAAUGAAGAAAUGUCUGGCCUCCCUGCAGCCAGAAAACAUCUGAACAAGUUACGGAAUAUAUGUUAGGGUUUAAAUAUUAUCCUUGUGAUCCUCAUGUGGUGCAUUUUUAUUGUAAGAUCACAAGUUGCAAGAAACAUCUGGUACUAUGUGGUUCGUCUGCGUUACAAGUUUCUGUCAUACUUCAGAGCAUCCAGCACUAUGAGAUACCGAAGACCAAGAAUUCAGCAUCAGAACAUCUAUGCAUAUGGUGGUCUAAAUGCCCAAAAUGUAAAAUGUACUUAAAUCAUCUCACCUUUUGUCAAGAUAUUAAACCAUCUUAGAUUGGCAUGUGAAGUAAAUUAUGGUACAUUUUAUGUAACAUUUUAAUGUUUAUAUUCAUAAAACCUAGUGAACACACUGUUAUGCCAGCUCAAAUCUACAAUAGCCACCAAAACCAUGACUUAAUACUUUGAGCCCUAGAAGAAAGGGUGGGAUGAGGGCAGAAGUGAGGAAAUAGGAAUACUGACCAAUAUAAUUGUGCAAUUAUGGAACAUAUUAAUUAAAAUAUGCCUUAAUAUAUAGUGAAUUUCUAAUUCUAAUGUGCAGGGCAAUGGAAGACAUUUAUUUGGACAGUAAUACUAGCUAAGUUGGAAGAUAUUUGAUUCUUCAGUGUGAUUUUUUUCAUUAGUUGAAGUAGGUUUUAGUUUUUUAAAAUUAUAACCAACCUAUUUUCACACCAUCUUGUAAGUUAAAUGAUAUCAAACUUGAAAGGCAUGUUCUCAUUUUUCUUUUUCUGAUGAAAUGUCUGAUAGUAUCAUUUUUUACAAGCAAUCAGUUGCUUUUAAAAUCAGAAGGCUGUAUUAUUCUAAUGACCCUACUGGAUCUAAAUGGGUUUGAGAAUCAAUAUCAACAUAUGCUAUGUGUUUUUUGACAGAAAGUGAAAACAAAUUCACUAAAACUGUUAGUAUCAAAAAUAAUAGGAAUACAGUUUUCUUGUUGACAUUAUGAUCAAAUAAAAAUCCUGUGAGAUUGUCUUUAUGUUUUGAA